This 202-nucleotide ribosomal RNA is filed under the name Pseudomonas aeruginosa. RNAcentral's name for it is "partial 16S ribosomal RNA". The stretch from base 41 to 202 matches the Rfam family "Bacterial small subunit ribosomal RNA", at positions 1 to 162 of the family's 1533-position model. The record is from RNAcentral. Lineage: Bacteria; Pseudomonadati; Pseudomonadota; Gammaproteobacteria; Pseudomonadales; Pseudomonadaceae.
UGAGCCAAGUUUAGGGUUUUCUCAAAACCCAAGCAGUAUUGAACUGAAGAGUUUGAUCAUGGCUCAGAUUGAACGCUGGCGGCAGGCCUAACACAUGCAAGUCGAGCGGAUGAAGGGGGCUUGCUCCUGGAUUCAGCGGCGGACGGGUGAGUAAUGCCUAGGAAUCUGCCUGGUAGUGGGGGAUAACGUCCGGAAACGGGCG